GUAGUUUAGGGGAGGAUCAGGGCUUCGAUCUCGAACAUAUACAAUUGGAGGUGUCUCUUAGACAUCUGAGUAGAGACAUGGAGGAGGUGGAUGUGACAGGAAUCUGGGUGCAGGAGAGAGGUCUGGACUGGAGAAUGCUUAUCUGGUGUUGAUCACGUUAUAGAUUGUGUAAAGCCAUGAGACUGAGGAGAGUCCCACAAGAGUGAACAGAAAUACAAAAAAGCCCUCAAAUGAGUUCUGGGGACUCUCCAAAAUGCGAAGGUCAUGGAAUAAGGAGGAACCAACAAAAGAAACCCAGAAAGGAGUAGCUAGAGCAGUGGAAGGAAAGUCGGAUGUGCAGUAUUCUGGAAAUCUAAAGGAGAAAGUGAUUGAGGAAAGAAGUUGAUGAUUAUGCCCCAGACUAUUGAAAAUCAUGUACAAUGAGAAUGAAGAAAUGACUAUGGGAUUUAACAGUGUGGAGGUGACCUUAAUAAGAUCAGUUUUUGUGGAGUGUGGAGGUGAGAACAUGAUUGGGGGUGGUUCAAAGGGAAUGUUGGAACAAAUCUGGAUUCAGCAAGUAUGGAUAAAUCCUUUGAGUCUUGCUUUAAGCCAAGAGAAGCAGAAUUAAAGUCAUGUAACUGAAGGUUAAGAGCAGUUUGUUGGGAAUUCCCUUUGUGGCUCAGUGGUUAACAAACCCAACUAAGAUCCAUGAGGAUGAGGGUUUGAUCCCUGGCCUUGCUUAUGAGUUAAGAAUCCGGCAUUGCCAUGAGCCGCCGGUGUAGGUCGCAGACACGCCUCAGAUCCUGUGCUGCUGUGGCUGUGGUGUAGGCUGGUGGCUACAGCUCCAAUUGGGCCCCUAGCCUGGGAACCUCCAUAUGCCAUGGUGCAGCCCUAAAAUAGCUUAAAAAAAGGCAGUUUGAACUAAAAAAUAGAAAAAUGUUGACCUGUUUAUAGGUUGACAGGAAAGACCUAGUCAAGAGGAAAAGAUGUAGAACGAGACAGAGUAAUUAUGCAGUGCCUGGGAGAAAGGGCUUGUCUCUGAUGGAAGCAUGAACAGUUCACCCCCAGUAACAGGACUGAAGGCAGGGCACAUGGGCUCAGGUGUACAUAGAUGCGUCCACGUGGUGUUUUGUGGAGUAUGUGGAGUUUUCUUUUUCUCUUCUUUAACAUUUUAUCUUAAGUAUAAUAUAUGUAUAUAUUACAUAGAAAAUAUGUAAAAUACAUAUAUUUUAAUAUACAUAUUUUCUAUUACAUAAUAGAGCAGGACAAAAAUCCCCAAUAGCCCGGUAGUUUUUACAAAGUGAACGAACUGGAGUUCCUGUUGUGGCUCAGUGGAAAAGAACCCGACUAGUAUCCAUGAGGAUGCAGGUUUGAUCCCUGGCCCUGCUCAGUGGGGUUAAGGAUCCUCAUUGCUGUGAGCUGUGGUGAUGUAGGCUCAGAUCCCAUGUUGCUGUGGCUGUGGCCUAGGCUGGCGGCUACAACUCCGAUUAGACCACUAACAUGAGAACUUCCCUAUGCUGUGGGUGUGGCUGAAAAAAAAAAAA
This 1523-nucleotide long non-coding RNA is filed under the name Sus scrofa (pig). RNAcentral's name for it is "lncRNA (ENSSSCG00030044061.1)". The record is from RNAcentral. Lineage: Eukaryota; Metazoa; Chordata; Mammalia; Artiodactyla; Suidae.